CCAGACUCCUACGGGAGGCAGCAGUGAGGAAUAUUGGUCAAUGGGCGGAAGCCUGAACCAGCCAAGUCGCGUGAGGGAAGAAGGCCCUGCGGGUCGCAGACCUCUUUGGACGGGGAGCAAGGCCGCCGACGUGUCGGCGGAAGGAGAGUACCCGUAGAACAAGCAUCGGCUAACUCCGUGCUAGCAGCCGCGGUAAUACGGAGGAUGCGAGCGUUAUCCGGAUUUAUUGGGUUUAAAGGGUGCGCAGGCGGCACGGCAAGCCGGCGGUGAAAUCGCGGGGCUCAACCCCGCCCAGCCGUCGGAACUGCCGGGCUGGAGUGCCGGAGGGGUAAGCGGAAUUCCUGGUGUAGCGGUGAAAUGCGCAGAUAUCAGGAAGAACACCGGUGGCGUAGGCGGCUUACUGGACGGCAACUGACGCUGAGGCUCGAAAGCGUGGGGAGCAAACAGGAUUAGAUACCCUCGUAU
This 465-nucleotide ribosomal RNA is filed under the name uncultured bacterium. Its description in RNAcentral is "partial 16S ribosomal RNA". It matches the Rfam family "Bacterial small subunit ribosomal RNA", at positions 331 to 793 of the family's 1533-position model. The record is from RNAcentral.